GACGAACGCUGGCGGCGUGCUUAACACAUGCAAGUCGAACGGAAAGGCCCUGCUUUUGUGGGGUGCUCGAGUGGCGAACGGGUGAGUAACCCGUGAGUAACCUGCCCUUGACUUUGGGAUAACUUCAGGAAACUGGGGCUAAUACCGGAUAGGAGCUCCUGCUGCAUGGUGGGGGUUGGAAAGUUUCGGCGGUUGGGGAUGGACUCGCGGCUUAUCAGCUUGUUGGUGGGGUAGUGGCUUACCAAGGCUUUGACGGGUAGCCGGCCUGAGAGGGUGACCGGCCACAUUGGGACUGAGAUACGGACCAGACGCCUACGGGAGGCAGCAGUGGGGAAUAUUGCACAAUGGGCGGAAGCCUGAUGCAGCAACGCCGCGUGCGGGAUGACGGCCUUCGGGUUGUAAACCGCUUUCGCCUGUGACGAAGCGUGAGUGACGGUAAUGGGUAAAGAAGCACCGGCUAACUACGUG
Molecule: ribosomal RNA, 468 nt
Filed under: uncultured bacterium
Lineage: Bacteria
Description: partial 16S ribosomal RNA
Rfam family: Bacterial small subunit ribosomal RNA
Source: RNAcentral